AGUGAACGCUGGCGGUAGGCCUAACACACGCAAGUCGAACGGCAGCACAGUAAGAGCUUGCUCUUACGGGUGGCGAGUGGCGGACAGGUGAGGAAUACAUCGGAAUCUACUUUUUCGUGGGGGAUAACGUAGGGAAACUUACGCUAAUACCGCAUACGACCUACGGGUGAAAGCAGGGGAUCUUCGGACCUUGCGCGAUUGAAUGAGCCGAUGUCGGAUUAGCUAGUUGGCGGGGUAAAGGCCCACCAAGGCGACGAUCCGUAGCUGGUCUGAGAGGAUGAUCAGCCACACUGGAACUGAGACACGGUCCAGACUCCUACGGGAGGCAGCAGUGGGGAAUAUUGGACAAUGGGCGCAAGCCUGAUCCAGCCAUACCGCGUGGGUGAAGAAGGCCUUCGGGUUGUAAAGCCCUUUUGUUGGGAAAGAAAAGCAGCAGGUUAAUACCCCGCUGUUCUGACGGUACCCAAAGAAUAAGCACCGGCUAACUUCGUG
RNAcentral lists this ribosomal RNA (492 nucleotides) under uncultured bacterium. Its description in RNAcentral is "partial 16S ribosomal RNA". It matches the Rfam family "Bacterial small subunit ribosomal RNA", at positions 29 to 507 of the family's 1533-position model. The record is from RNAcentral.